Molecule: non-coding RNA, 1083 nt
Organism: Mus caroli (Ryukyu mouse)
Lineage: Eukaryota; Metazoa; Chordata; Mammalia; Rodentia; Muridae
Source: RefSeq, a predicted model, not a curated record
AUGAAGGCACUGAUCUUGAUGGGUGGGUAUGGGACACGGUUGCGGCCGCUGACGGUGAGCACUCCGAAGCCAUGGGUGGACUUCUGCAAUAAGCCCAUCUUGCUGCAUCAAGUGGAGGCGCUUGCUGCGGCAGGUGUGGACCAUGUGAUCCUGGCAGUGAGCUACAUGUCACAGAUGUUGGAGAAGGAAAUGAAGGCACAAGAGCAAAGGGUUGGAAUCCGAAUCUCUAUGUCUCAUGAAGAGGAGCCUUUGGGGAUAGCUGGGCCUCUGGCGUUGGCCCGAGACCUACUAUCUGAGACUGCCGACCCUUUCUUCGUUCUCAACAGUGAUGUGAUAUGUGAUUUCCCCUUCCAAGCCAUGGUGCAGUUUCAUCGACACCAUGGCCAAGAGGGCUCCGUCUUGGUUACCAAGGUGGAAGAGCCUUCCAAGUAUGGUGUGGUGGUAUGUGAGGCUGACACAGGCCGCAUCCACUGUUUUGUUGAGAAGCCACGGGUGUUUGUGUCCAGUAAGAUCAACGCAGGCAUGUACAUCCUGAGCCCUGCUGUGCUGCAGCGCAUCCAGCUGAAGCCUACAUCCAUUGAGAAGGAGAUCUUCCCAGUUAUGGCCAAGGAGGGGCAGCUAUAUGCCAUGGAGCUGCAGGGCUUCUGGAUGGACAUUGGACAGCCCAAGGAUUUCCUCACUGGCAUGUGCCUCUUCCUACAAUCGCUGAGACAGAAGCAUCCAGAGAGACUGUACUCAGGCCCUGGCAUUGUGGGGAAUGUACUUGUGGACCCAAGUGCCCGUAUCGGUGAGAACUACAGCACUGGCCCCAAUGUAAGCCUGGGUCCUGGUGUGGUGGUGGAGGAUGGUGUGUGCAUCCGGCGAUGCACUGUGCUUCGUGAUGCUCACAUCCGCUCCCAUUUCUGGCUUGAGUCAUGCAUCGUGGGCUGGCGCUGCCGUGUGGGCCAAUGGGUGCUCAUGGAGAACGUAACCAUGCUGGGUGAGGAUGUCAUAGUUAAUGAUGAACUGUACCUCAAUGGAGCCAGCGUGCUGCCCCACAAGUCUAUCGAGGAGUCGGUACCAGAACCUCGUAUUAUCAUGUGA